AUUGAACGCUGGCGGCAGGCUUAACACAUGCAAGUCGAGCGAGCGGCGGACGGGUGAGUAAUGUCUGGGAAACUGCCUGAUGGAGGGGGAUAACUACUGGAAACGGUAGCUAAUACCGCAUACCAUCAGAUGUGCCCAGAUGGGAUUAGCUAGUAGGUGGGGUAAUGGCUCACCUAGGCGACGAUCCCUAGCUGGUCUGAGAGGAUGACCAGCCAAGCUGGAACUUGGACACGAUCCAGACACCUACGGGAGGCAGCAGGGGGGAAUAUUGCACAAUGGGCGCAGGCCUGAUGCAGCCAUGCCGCGUGUGUGAAGAAGGCCUUCGGGUUGUAAAGCACGUUCAGCGAGGAGACGUGACUCACAGAAGGAGCACCGGCGAACUCCGUGCCAGCAGCCGCGGUAAUAC
RNAcentral lists this ribosomal RNA (406 nucleotides) under uncultured bacterium. RNAcentral's name for it is "partial 16S ribosomal RNA". It matches the Rfam family "Bacterial small subunit ribosomal RNA", at positions 29 to 526 of the family's 1533-position model. The record is from RNAcentral.